This 359-nucleotide ribosomal RNA is filed under the name Bipolaris oryzae. RNAcentral's name for it is "eukaryotic LSU rRNA". The stretch from base 1 to 126 matches the Rfam family "5.8S ribosomal RNA", at positions 29 to 154 of the family's 154-position model. The record is from RNAcentral. Lineage: Eukaryota; Fungi; Ascomycota; Dothideomycetes; Pleosporales; Pleosporaceae.
UGCAUCGAUGAAGAACGCAGCGAAAUGCGAUACGUAGUGUGAAUUGCAGAAUUCAGUGAAUCAUCGAAUCUUUGAACGCACAUUGCGCCCUUUGGUAUUCCAAAGGGCAUGCCUGUUCGAGCGUCAUUUGUACCUUCAAGCUUUGCUUGGUGUUGGGCGUUUUUUUGUCUCCCUCUUUCUGGGAGACUCGCCUUAAAACGAUUGGCAGCCGGCCUACUGGUUUCGGAGCGCAGCACAUUUUUUGCGCUUUGUAUCAGGAGAAAAGGACGGUACUCCAUCAAGACUCUACAUUUUUCACUUUUGACCUCGGAUCAGGUAGGGAUACCCGCUGAACUUAAGCAUAUCAAUAAGCGGAGGAA